RNAcentral lists this long non-coding RNA (544 nucleotides) under Lynx canadensis (Canada lynx). RNAcentral's name for it is "lncRNA (ENSLCNG00005005381.1)". The record is from RNAcentral. Lineage: Eukaryota; Metazoa; Chordata; Mammalia; Carnivora; Felidae.
UGCACAACCUUCCAUCUCCAAUUACGGUGGUCAAACCUAGUCAUACACUGCUAACAGGUUGCCAGAAUUCUCGGACUCCUCGAGCCCGGCACUGAUGAGCAGCAAAGCAGGGCGAGCUGGACUCAGCUCUCUUUGUCCCAACGCCGUCCUGUCCCAAGGACAACCCACCCCCAGCUCCUGCAGGUGUGCUGCUUCAGCGGUCCAGACAUUUGGAAUGUGCUUCCCAGCUUCAUCCACUGUCCUGGGAUGGACCAGGAAGGCCUUGGAAGAGGUUCUCCAGGUCCUUGUGAGGAGCACACAGAAGGAAUUCCUUAGUCUGCUGAGUAGCUGGAGGAGACCAGAAAGCCAAUGACAACUUCAUUCCUCUCCCCUACCUCGCAAUGAAGCCUCUGUUAGUUCUGAAAGGUCUCAAGAAUUGAAGUGGAGAAUGGAGGAGAAACUAAAGGAAAGGUAGUCUGACUGUAAUCCUUGCCUUGUACUAUUUUCAUAUAGUGGUAGAGAGAAAAAUACUAAAUGGAAUGGUUCUCUUCCUCCAAUAUUACAU